Molecule: ribosomal RNA, 755 nt
Filed under: uncultured Neisseriaceae bacterium
Lineage: Bacteria; Pseudomonadati; Pseudomonadota; Betaproteobacteria; Neisseriales; Neisseriaceae
Description: bacterial SSU rRNA
Rfam family: Bacterial small subunit ribosomal RNA
Source: RNAcentral
AUUGAACGCUGGCGGCAUGCUUUACACAUGCAAGUCGGACGGCAGCGGGGGUGCUUGCACCUGCCGGCGAGUGGCGAACGGGUGAGUAACAUAUUGGAAUGUACCGAGUAGUGGGGGAUAACCAAUCGAAAGAUUGGCUAAUACCGCAUACGUCCUGAGGGGGAAAGCAGGGGAUCUUCGGACCUUGCGCUAUUUGAGCAGCCAAUAUCUGAUUAGCUAGUUGGUGGGGUAAAGGCCCACCAAGGCGACGAUCAGUAGCGGGUCUGAGAGGAUGAUCCGCCACACUGGGACUGAGACACGGCCCAGACUCCUACGGGAGGCAGCAGUGGGGAAUUUUGGACAAUGGGGGCAACCCUGAUCCAGCCAUGCCGCGUGUCUGAAGAAGGCCUUCGGGUUGUAAAGGACUUUUGUUAGGGAAGAAAAGGGAAGUGCUAAUACCACUUUUUGCUGACGGUACCUAAAGAAUAAGCACCGGCUAACUACGUGCCAGCAGCCGCGGUAAUACGUAGGGUGCGAGCGUUAAUCGGAAUUACUGGGCGUAAAGCGAGCGCAGACGGUUACUUAAGCAGGAUGUGAAAUCCCCGGGCUCAACCUGGGAACUGCGUUCUGAACUGGGUAGCUAGAGUAUGUCAGAGGGGGGUAGAAUUCCACGUGUAGCAGUGAAAUGCGUAGAGAUGUGGAGGAAUACCGAUGGCGAAGGCAGCCCCCUGGGAUAAUACUGACGUUCAUGCUCGAAAGCGUGGGGUAGCAACAGG